GGCUCAGGAUGAACGCUAGCUACAGGCUUAACACAUGCAAGUCGAGGGGCAGCACUAGGUAGCAAUACUGAGGUGGCGACCGGCGCACGGGUGCGUAACGCGUAUGCAACCUACCUAUAACAGGGGGAUAACACUGAGAAAUUGGUACUAAUACCCCGUAACAUCAGAGGAGGCAUCUUCUUUGGUUGAAAGUUCCGGCGGUUAUAGAUGGGCAUGCGUUGUAUUAGCUAGUUGGUGGGGUAAUGGCUCACCAAGGCGACGAUACAUAGGGGGACUGAGAGGUUAACCCCCCACAUUGGUACUGAGACACGGACCAAACUCCUACGGGAGGCAGCAGUGAGGAAUAUUGGACAAUGGAUGGAAAUCUGAUCCAGCCAUGCCGCGUGCAGGAUGACGGCCCUAUGGGUCUUAAACUGCUUUUGUACGGGAGCAAUAAGUACUACGUGUAGUAUGAUGAGAGUACCGUACGAAUAAGCAUCGGCUAACUCCGUG
This 492-nucleotide ribosomal RNA is filed under the name uncultured bacterium. RNAcentral's name for it is "bacterial SSU rRNA". It matches the Rfam family "Bacterial small subunit ribosomal RNA", at positions 21 to 507 of the family's 1533-position model. The record is from RNAcentral.